Gastrolobium bilobum is the source of this 548-nucleotide long non-coding RNA. RefSeq lists it as uncharacterized. The transcript has 4 exons. NCBI's taxonomy places the organism in Eukaryota, Viridiplantae, Streptophyta, Magnoliopsida, Fabales, Fabaceae. The record is from RefSeq and is a predicted model, not a curated record.
GAAACAGAGAGAAGAAGAAGAAGAAGGAGAAAGGAGGGAGAAGGAAGGGAGGAAGAGAGAGAGAGAUCAAACCUUAACCGAUUUGAGUGAUUCAAAAGCCUAAAUCGCUUAGAAUCUCGCCCUCUUUCAUAAUCCUUGCUUUGUUUUGAGUGGGGAGCAUUGUGGAGAGGGAUAUUGCCUCUCAAAAAUUCGGCCAUUGGAGAGAUUUUGGGGUUUUGGGAAGUUCAACCUCCAUGGGAGCUUGAGGAACACUCCUUGCUUGGUUGUGUGACCCUUGGUGGAUUGAGACAUUUGGACCGACCGUGAGUGAUCAACCGCUUGAGCAAGCUAUGGAGCUUGAGUAGCUCAUUGGAAUUGGUGUUGGUUUUGGAGUAGAGUAUUGUUGACAUUGGUGGUGAACAAAGGUCGAAUUGAAGCUUGAGGUAAGGAUGCUGCAGGAGCCUCUGGUGGCAAGUGGCCAUAUCUGGAUUAUGCAUGAAAUGUGGCAUUUCUUUUGAGAUUGUACAUGUUGUUUUGUAGCUCACAUGUAUAGAAUUAAAUGAAUAGGC